GCCUCUCCUUUAAAGGCUUUGGUAUCGGCAGCUCCUGCUCCAUCAUCCUCCGCUGAGGCUGCUUCAUCCAAACCAGCUGAUGAAGGGAUUACGCUUAAAGAGACAUCUUCAGUCCCAGAAUCCUCAUCACAACCAAUGGAUGAGCCACCUUCUUCCCAGGGCGUCAACCCCCCAAAUAUCGAAGCAGAAGGUAAUUCAGUUUUUUGAUGCUUUACCUUUGCUUGUACUAUUGGUUUCUGAUUUGUUGCUUUUGAGUUUUGUAGAUGCUCCUAUGAGUCUGCCCGUUGUUGCAACAUCCUCUCGCUCAGACAAGGGGAAGUCUUCACGAAUGGUGGAGUCACAGGUGGCAGACUUGGCCGGGGAUAUGCCAUCUUCCACGAUUAUUGAUGAGGUAAUCUUUGCUUCACUUUUAUUUCCAUCUUGUUCGUUGUAGUGAGAAUCUUCAAUAUUGGCAAUUUUUUUUCCAGGAUGCUGACAAGAUUGUACGUUCCAUCCAAGACUUGUUCGCUUCCUGGGGGCAAGUCAAGACAUCUCGUCCUGCUCCGUUUGGUCGUCCUGCUGCUUUUUUAGAGGAAGAUUUGAAGUUCCUCAAGCAGUCGAUAUUUGAGUACGUGUCUUUCAUGGAUAUGGACAUUGGUAAGGCUAGUGCUGCCAGACACAAGGAUAAGCUUGAGCAUUUGAAUGCAAAGUUGGAGCAAGCACUGACACUUCCGUCGCUCAAUCUUUCUGCCGAUUUUAAAGCGACGUUGAAAGUUAUCCAUUCCGAGGUCCUCUCCUUGCUGGCCAAGAAUGCUGAACUAAAGGCCAAA
Molecule: long non-coding RNA, 809 nt
Filed under: Olea europaea subsp. europaea
Lineage: Eukaryota; Viridiplantae; Streptophyta; Magnoliopsida; Lamiales; Oleaceae
Source: RNAcentral